CUAUCGGCAAUUAAUUUUCUUUUUUUUUAAAAAAAAAAAAAAGCAACGGUUAAUUACCAAAUCGUCUUCUCCUCUCACAGCUCCUCUCGUGCAGCUCUCUUCCAAAUCCCAAUUCUUCCCUCUUCCACAACGCCUGUCCUUCCAACUUCCCUUCAAUUAUCGAUUAUUGCUCUCCAUUCUCCAAACGUCUCCUGAUCUCUAAGCUUCUCUAAUCUUUCACUACUUGGUUCGGUGGUGAUCCUGGUAUUGUGUUAGAGUGCAUUUUUUGUUGCACUUCAAGAUGUUUAUGUCCAGCAUGACAAAAGGAUGGACCACUUAUUACAAAACAUGAAGCAUGGAACAAUCCAAAUUUCAAAAGGGUAAAGGAUACAUAAGACUUUAUUUCCAUAUCAGCAUCCCAAAAAACCUGGCUGAUGGAUGGUUAGAUGAUACGGUCUCAAGCUAAUAGCAUCUUUCAUCUCUUGGACAUACGUACUAGCGAUCCCCAGAUACUUAUUUAGCAGCUUUAGCUAAUCUGUGUGAGGUAGUGCGUUCCUUCACUUGACUAUUUUAACUUCUUUACAUUGUUCUCUUCUACAUGGUUCUCUUUUCUAAAACUACUUACCAGUUGGACCGAAAGAUUUUUGUCGUUUUGCUCAUCACUGACAUGUUUAGGGUGCAAGAAACUCGGUUGGUUGGUCGAAGACAAUAGCCUUGCCCACAUCCUGUCAGUAAUUACUACUUUGUUUUGUCUCUCAAUGAUCCGCUGCAAAUGUAGGAGCAACAUAAGAUUGGUCUAUAUUCAGGAACUAGCCCUCUUUCCAUACCAAUAGACGAACGUAACUUUAAGCAACUAUAGGAAAGUAAAGGUUUAGGAUAUUGAGCUUACAUGAAAUGGUAUGUAAGCAUGCCUUCCAUUUACUGGGCCUACUGUAAAUCCAGUAUAUCCUGCCAUUGCGCCGUGAAUGGCACUUUGAGCAAGAAGGGUGCAAAAGAUGUUAUCUGAUGCAAUGCUAGGAACUGCUCGAAUCAUGUACGUUGGAUCUACAAAAGUAAAAAAAAAAAUUUAAAAAUUACAAUAAGUAAUA
Cucumis melo (muskmelon) is the source of this 1067-nucleotide long non-coding RNA. RefSeq lists it as uncharacterized. The transcript is spliced from 2 exons. NCBI's taxonomy places the organism in Eukaryota, Viridiplantae, Streptophyta, Magnoliopsida, Cucurbitales, Cucurbitaceae. The record is from RefSeq and is a predicted model, not a curated record.